AGUGAACGCUGGCGGUAGGCCUAACACAUGCAAGUCGAACGGCAGCACAGUAAGAGCUUGCUCUUACGGGUGGCGAGUGGCGGACGGGUGAGGAAUACAUCGGAAUCUACUUUUUCGUGGGGGAUAACGUAGGGAAACUUACGCUAAUACCACAUACGACCUACGGGUGAAAGCAGGGGAUCUUCGGACCUUGCGCGAUUGAAUGAGCCGAUGCCGGAUUAGCUAGUUGGCGGGGUAAAGGCCCACCAAGGCGACGAUCCGUAGCUGGUCUGAGAGGAUGAUCAGCCACACUGGAACUGAGACACGGUCCAGACUCCUACGGGAGGCAGCAGUGGGGAAUAUUGGACAAUGGGCGCAAGCCUGAUCCAGCCAUACCGCGUGGGUGAAGAAGGCCUUCGGGUUGUAAAGCCCUUUUGUUGGGAAAGAAAAGCAGCAGGUUAAUACCCCGCUGUUCUGACGGUACCCAAAGAAUAAGCACCGGCUAACUUCGUG
Molecule: ribosomal RNA, 492 nt
Filed under: uncultured bacterium
Lineage: Bacteria
Description: partial 16S ribosomal RNA
Rfam family: Bacterial small subunit ribosomal RNA
Source: RNAcentral